This is a long non-coding RNA of Lagopus muta (rock ptarmigan), 1103 nucleotides long. RefSeq lists it as uncharacterized. The record is from RefSeq and is a predicted model, not a curated record. The transcript has 3 exons. NCBI's taxonomy places the organism in Eukaryota, Metazoa, Chordata, Aves, Galliformes, Phasianidae.
UCUGGGGUUUCCAUAGGGGUUUUAUGGGGUCUGGGGGUUUCCAUAGGGGGUUUUAUGGGGUCUGGGGGUUUCCAUAGGGGAUUUAUGGGAUCUGUGGGUUUCCAUAGGGGAUUUCUGGGGUCUGGGGGGUUUCCAUAGGGGAUUUAUGGGGUCUGGGGGUUUCCAUAGGGGAUCUGUGGGGUCUGGAGGUUUCCAUAGGGGUUUUUAUGGGUCUGGGGGUUUCCAUAGGGGAUUUAUGGGGUCUGGGGGUUUCCAUAGGGGAUUUAUGGGGUCUGGGGGUUUCCAUAUGGGAUUUAUGGGGUCUGGGGGUUCCCAUAGGGGAUUUAUGGGGUCUGGGGCUUCCAUAGGGGAUUUAUGGGGUCUGGGGGUUCCAUAUGGGAUUUAUGGGGUCUGGGGGUUUCCAUAGGGGAUUUAUGGGGUCUGGGGGUUUCUAUAGGGGUUUUAUGGGGUCUGGGGGUUUCCAUAGGGGAUUUAUGGGGUCUGGGGGUUUCCAUAGGGGAUUUAUGGGGUCUGGGGGUUUCCAUAGGGGAUUUAUGGGGUCUGGGGGUUUCUAUAGGGGUUUUAUGGGGUCUGGGGGCUUCCAUAGGGGAUUUAUGGGGUCUGGGUUUCCAUAGGGGGAUUUAUGGGGUCUGGGGGUUUCCAUAGGGGAUUUGUGGGGGCCCUGGGGGUUUCCAUAGGGGAUCUGUGGGGUCUGGGUUUUCCAUAGGGGAUUUGUGGGGUUUGUGAGGUGCCUAUGGGGGAUUUAUGGGGUCUGGGGGUUUCCAUAGGACUUUUAUGGGGUCUGGGGGUUUCCAUAGGGGAUUUGUGGGGUCUGGGGGUUUCCAUAGGGGGAUUUAUGGGGUCUGGGGUUUCCAUAGGGGAUUUAUGGGGUCUGGGGGUUUCCAUAGGGUAUUUGUGGGGUCUGGGGGUUUCCAUAGGGGAUUUAUGGGGUCUGGGUUUCCAUAGGGCAUUUGUGGGGCUUGUGAGGUGCCUAUGGGGGUUUUAUGGGGUCUGGGGGUUUCCAUAGGGGAUUUAUGGGGUCUGGGGGUUUCUAUAGGGGAUUUAUGGGGUCUGGGGGUUUCCAUAGGGGAUUUGUGGGGUCUGGGGGUUCCUGUAGGGGAUUU